Long non-coding RNA from Capsicum annuum, 231 nucleotides. RefSeq lists it as uncharacterized. Lineage: Eukaryota; Viridiplantae; Streptophyta; Magnoliopsida; Solanales; Solanaceae. The record is from RefSeq and is a predicted model, not a curated record. The transcript has 2 exons.
CAACGUGAUUUUACUGUUCCAGUAAAUCAAAUUCAGUUUUUUUUUUUUGUUUUAUGCAACUUUUGAGAUUUUUUUUUGAAGGAAAAGCAAACAUAGGUUCUUGUUGUGUUAUUAAAAAAUGAAUUUUGAUUAUUUGCAUUCAAUCAUGAUAUGUCAUGGGGGGAGAUGAGAUUCUUCAGGUAUACCUAGGAACUUUGAUAUUGACGGGAUUAUGUAUGCUGCAAGUACAAA